Molecule: microRNA precursor, 80 nt
Filed under: Gossypium raimondii (Peruvian cotton)
Lineage: Eukaryota; Viridiplantae; Streptophyta; Magnoliopsida; Malvales; Malvaceae
Description: miR7492n stem-loop (gra-MIR7492n)
Source: miRBase by way of RNAcentral
CAAACGCUGCUAUAGAUCAGGGUCUUUAGCGGCGCUUUUUUACAAAUGCCGCUAUAGAUCAGGGUCUUUAGCAGCGCUUC